AACGCGAAGAACCUUACCAAGGUUUGACAUGCAGGGAAAAGCCGUAGAGAUACGGUGUCCGUAAGGGUCCUGCACAGGUGGUGCAUGGCUGUCGUCAGCUCGUGUCGUGAGAUGUUGGGUUAAGUCCCGCAACGAGCGCAACCCUCGUCCUAUGUUGCCAGCGGGUAAUGCCGGGGACUCAUAGGAGACUGCCGGGGUCAACUCGGAGGAAGGUGGGGAUGACGUCAAGUCCUCAUGCCCCUUAUGUCUUGGGCUGCAAACAUGCUACAAUGGCCAGUACAAAGGGUUGCGAGACCGCAAGGUGGAGCGAAUCCCAAAAAGCUGGUCUCAGUUCGGAUUGCAGUCUGCAACUCGACUGCAUGAAGCCGGAAUCGCUAGUAAUGGCGCAUCAGAACGGCGCCGUGAAUACGUUCCCGGGCCUUGUACACACCGCGCAUA
This 438-nucleotide ribosomal RNA is filed under the name uncultured bacterium. RNAcentral describes it as "bacterial SSU rRNA". It matches the Rfam family "Bacterial small subunit ribosomal RNA", at positions 958 to 1398 of the family's 1533-position model. The record is from RNAcentral.